Long non-coding RNA from Cynara cardunculus var. scolymus (artichoke), 383 nucleotides. RefSeq lists it as uncharacterized. The transcript has 2 exons. The record is from RefSeq and is a predicted model, not a curated record. NCBI's taxonomy places the organism in Eukaryota, Viridiplantae, Streptophyta, Magnoliopsida, Asterales, Asteraceae.
UAUGAUUAUUACGAAAUGGUUAAAUUCAUGAAAUCGAGACCUAAAUGAAACGUGUUCAGCCAUCAUCGAGUGUAGAAAAGCUUCAAGUAUCCAGGUCCGAUAUUCUUCAUUUUAGACUCGAUUUCUCACUGAAUUUCGAUUCCAGUGAACAGCAUUCAUUUGACAUUUGAUCAAGGGUUCCAAUAAUUGUGCAGGUUUUUUUUUUUAAUGUUGUAGGCUUUCACUAUUUUAACCUAUUUGGCUAUUCAGACUUCUGACUUGUUAGAAGAAUAGUUUCUGUUUAGGUGAAUUUCAUGAGUUUUUUUUAAUUUAAUUUGGAAGAAUUUUAAAAUUAAAUAUUACAAGUGUAAUAAACUUUCAGAAGUAUUUUGAUGUAAUUGUGA